UAAGAAGAAGCUUUGCUACUUCCAACGCCGAUACAAGGUGACCCAUACCAGAGGCGGGGACGAACACGAGCUGUGCUUUCUCCAUUUUAGUAUUGAUAAAACCUUCUUAAUUUUGCUGCCAAGUAUAGAAGAUGAGGAUGAUGGUGAUGAGCUUGAGGUAUUUCUAGCUGCAGUACUGCAUUUUGGUGGGUAUAAGACAAUGGUGGGUAUAAGACAA
RNAcentral lists this unclassified non-coding RNA (217 nucleotides) under Hevea brasiliensis (rubber tree). The record is from RNAcentral. Lineage: Eukaryota; Viridiplantae; Streptophyta; Magnoliopsida; Malpighiales; Euphorbiaceae.